CUACCCUCUCAAACCAAAUUACCCCAAUAGUUUAUAAACCAUACCUCUUGCUCAAAUUAUCCACUUAGCCUAUUCAUUUCAAUGCGACACACACUUCAAAACACCUUCCAAUGUUCUGCGCUCUAGCUCUAGUUCUAGUUGGUGAGCAAAGCGAGCAAGUUUGGAGAGCAUGACAGAGUAGUUCUGCCCUUAAAUGCUACGUGAGAGGGGAUACCCAGGCCAACAUAUUUUGACAGGCUAGUCGAGACACCAACUGUUAAAUGGAUAGUGAACCCAAGUGAAGCCAACAAACUGUGAAAUAAACUGUGACACUAGAACUGUGACACUAGAGCUACACUACAAUGAUAAAGCGAUGGCAAAACAUCAUCCAGGCAGGUUAAGGAUAGUGGUCUGACCUAACAUGCGCUAAUAAUGCCGAGCUAAUAUUAGCCAGACAUCAUAUCUUACUAAGUAGUAGCCAGGCGGGCAUCAACCAAGUUCAAUAGCAUUAUUAAAGAGCUUUCACUCUCACAGAGAGAACUUUCGCUAUGAAAAAGCUGUUCAGAACGGCGUGCCAAGUUGCAAGGCAGCUGCGAACAGAUGGCACGAGAAGGCAGCACAACACCACACUGUCACUAGCUUCAUUACAUGACAUUAAAUUCGUCCACUUCGUUACACGUGAAAGGAAAGAAUGGCCCAGCCCACGUGAGCGUCACCAUGGGAUUAAACCUCACACUUCCUCAUUGCCACUAUACCUUACCGACACACUGGGACCCGGAGAGACAGAAACACAGUCAUGGCAAUGUCAUCGCUUCUUCUAAUGGCAAUUCUGCACAUCGCCAUAGGUACUGUGCAAGGUGAAAGUGAAAGUGUUGUGAUACCUAUGAAUGAACUGAAAGCUUGCUUUGUGGAAAGAUCUUUGGCAUCGACAGGACAAUUUUGUCUCACAGAAGACUGUGAGAAUGGGCAGAUGAAAGACAUGUUUGUUCCGUGUCUGUUACGGGCAUAUGAUGGUCUUUACAGAGACUCUUCUUACCAUUUAAAGGGAGAUUCCAACGUCAGACGCAUGGCUCAUUGUGCAGUUACAAAGUGUGCUGACGCACUGAUGGACCAGAGGGAAGACAGUGGGGGACUCUUCUCAGGACUGGGGGAUGCCUUCUAUUCUUGCCUGAUUGCUAUGAGUAACUGUGUCAAAACGGCACCCAAAUUCAGACCCAAAACGGAACUAUAAGCAAGUUGGCCAAUGUCUGUAGCCUACCACUUUUUAUGUUCUCUAUACGAAAUCAACACAUUAAUGUUUAUAACUGCGAUUCCAAAAAACUUGAGAAAGGCCAUACGGGCCGAAACGUUGUUUUCUUAAUAAAUUGCAGCACGAUGGACAAGAGUGUGCGGUAUCUUCUUCUAAUAUAUUGCGAUUCCAUCAUAUGUAUCUGAGUCAGUUUAGACUGUUUGUACUGUUGUAGAAUUGUUUUACAAUAUUCAAGUUAAUCAAACAGUGAUGAGCAGCCCUGGGAGAUUGACAGAAAUGCUCUCCACAGACAGUUUCUGCCUUCUUGGAAUGCUUUGUUGAAAUUAGUUUGGAAUUAUUAACAUUUAAUUUACGAA
This is a long non-coding RNA of Engraulis encrasicolus (European anchovy), 1584 nucleotides long. RefSeq lists it as uncharacterized. The record is from RefSeq and is a predicted model, not a curated record. The transcript has 8 exons. Lineage: Eukaryota; Metazoa; Chordata; Actinopteri; Clupeiformes; Engraulidae.